GACGAACGCUGGCGGCGUGCUUAACACAUGCCAGUCGAACGGAAAGGCCCUGCUUGCGGGGUGCUCGAGUGGCGAACGGGUGAGUAACACGUGUGUGUUCUGCCCUGCACUUCGGGGUAUGCCUGGGGAACUGGGGGGAAUACAGGAUAGAGGCGAUUCUGAGGGUGGUGGUUGGAAGGUUUUUUCGGUGUGGGGUGAGCGGACGGCCUGUCAGCCUGUUGGUGGGGUAAUGGCCUACCAAGGGGGCGACGGGUGGGCGGCCCGGGAGGGUGGACGGCCACAAUGGGACUGGGGAUCGGCCCAGGCUCCCACGGGAGGCAGCAGUGGGGAAUAUUUCCCAAUGGGCGCAAGGCCGAUGCAGCGACGGCGCGGGGGGGAAGACGGCCUUCGGGUUGGAAACUCGCUUCGCUAGGGACGAAGCUGUUUGUGACGGUACCUAGAAAAGAAGCACCGGCUAACUACGUG
RNAcentral lists this ribosomal RNA (465 nucleotides) under uncultured bacterium. RNAcentral's name for it is "partial 16S ribosomal RNA". It matches the Rfam family "Bacterial small subunit ribosomal RNA", at positions 28 to 507 of the family's 1533-position model. The record is from RNAcentral.